GAUCCUGGCUCAGAUUGAACGCUGGCGGCAGGCCUAACACAUGCAAGUCGAACGGUAACAGGAAGCAGCUUGCUGCUUUGCUGACGAGUGGCGGACGGGUGAGUAAUGUCUGGGAAACUGCCUGAUGGAGGGGGAUAACUACUGGAAACGGUAGCUAAUACCGCAUAACGUCGCAAGACCAAAGAGGGGGGACCUUCGGGUCCUCUUGCCACUCGGAUGUGCCCAGAUGGGAUUAGCUUG
Molecule: ribosomal RNA, 240 nt
Filed under: uncultured bacterium
Lineage: Bacteria
Description: partial 16S ribosomal RNA
Rfam family: Bacterial small subunit ribosomal RNA
Source: RNAcentral